CUGACAAGACCAUGAAAUGCACGGAGUGUCCACAGGGACAGAAUUUGCUGAACACGGCUCUUUGUAAAUGAGGGGACAUAGUGUCGCAGCAGCUCAUGAAUAUGAAACGCCCAUGAUGCCACCUCAGUGGACUUGGGAACACAGAUGAAUCCUGUCAUGUGCUAAAUGAGACCAAUUUCUUUCACUUAACUUCAUCUUCAAUCAGACCUUCUUCCAUUUGCCUGUUUAAAAUUCCCCACACGUGAUGCAGAAGGUAACAGCAUUCAGUAAAACAAAGUUUUGCAGCUGCAGAGAAAAAUUAUAAUGAUCUCUGGUUUUAAGUUGUCAUCUCCUAAAAACAUGGGCAUUGUUUUCUUCCACUUGAGAGUUCUGAAUGUCUGUUGACUUUGGGCAUAGAAUCAGGGGUUUGUCUGGACUGCUCUUAUUGGGGUGUCCUUAAGCAGCAUGUCCAGAUCGCUUUCAUGUGGAUUGGUUGUUGAACUUGGCUGGGUAUGGUGGAUGUGAGCCCUGAACAGCCUGUGAGUGCUCUGCAGUGACCAGGGCACUGAGUGGGAAAGAAGUUUGGGAAGAGAUUGCGUGUAUCCAAACAGAGUAUUUGCCUUUGGAAGCUCAUUGAGUAAAUGAAGUGGGCGGGGUGGUGUCAUCAUUAAGCACCUUAAGGAAGCUGGAAAGCUAAGCCAACCAUUUGUAUCGUUUGCUCAGAUGUCAAGGUGAGAAAGUGCUGGAGUACAGAAGAGACUCUGUAGUUCUGUAGAAGCCCUUCUGAACACGACCAGGGAAUCCUACUCAGAAAUCCCCAACCAAGAAAAGUAGCAAAGAGUAGACCCUAAAGGGUUACUGAGAGAAGAAGCUCCCUGCCUGAAACAUCUCUGCCUGGGUGGGACCCCGGGGCCAGAUUGGGGUGUCUCCUUUGUUCUCUCCUUCCUGCUGGAGUUAGAUUUAUACUCCAGGUGAAGAGCUGGGUAGUGCUUGGGGUAUACUCAUUGCAAGCUGAGUCCAAUCUAAGAAGUCACUUUCUGUUCUAGCGGUACCCAAACAGGCAAACAACAGCUGGAUCUGAACAUCUUGUGCAUGCUAUCACAAAAUGCAUCACAGAGAUGUGGGGCUGGCUUCAUUGGAAGAGGCAGAUUUGUACUGCUGUUGCUGUGCAUUCAUAAGCCUCUGUUGGGUGCUUCCAGAAUGUGGAGACUGGUGAAGAGCAGUGUGACCCAGCCUCAGGAUGGACGCCAAAUGGACCAUAUUGGACCAAGUUUGAAUGACUCUUCCUCUGAAACUUUGUCUCCACGCAUCCAUUAUUUCUUAGAUAUGCACAAGCCUUUCCCAGGGGCCCUUGCAGCUCUGAAGGAAGCCAAAACCUUUGCUAUGAUGUUAUCAAAUCCAGGAAGUAGCCAAGGAUUACUCUUUGUUCUUGUGAGAUGAAUCCUACUCAGGCAGCUUUAGGACUCAGUAGCAACUCUAAUUGGAACAAUGUAGAGAAGUAGAGAAGGUUGACAUGGCUCUUCCAUGUGUGUCACUUCCUGACCUGAGGAGCAUCUGUUGAAUGCAGUUCUAUUCAGUUGUUCCUAAUUCUUCCAAUCCUUGGAAUGCACAGAUGCUGGGUUGUAGCUUUGCUUUCAGCUAGUUCAUCAUCCAGGGGGCAGACUUGGGGCAAAUUUCAUGGAUUCUACCUCCUGCAAGGUAAUGAGAGCUACCCCGUGGCCACGAGUAAAGUAUUAUGGAAGGAUAAAGUAGGAAGCUCUUAUUUCUGCUUGUUAGAUUCAGAAGUGAUCCACUAAGGAAGAAACAUGCAUUUUCUAUCCUGCUUAGUCCCUCUGGGUUUUCCUCCAUCAUGCCUUGGAAAGGGUCUGGCGUAGCCCAACCACAACGUCCCGCCUACCGUUUCUCCAGUGUUGCCAGUUACUUCUCACUGCUGAGCACCUUUGCACAUGUUCCCCGCCUAGCCGAAUCCUGCUUCUCCUUCAGUUUCAGCUGCCCUGUCCUCAAUGCAGAAAUACCUUCCUUCUUUAACUCCUCAACCCUAACCCUACUAAUCCUAAUCCCAUACCCCCAAAUUAAAUCCUCUCUGGACUGGAUUAAAUGCAUUGUGGAGCAACGUUCAAUAGAAUAUUAGAAGGUCAUUUAAAAUAAGUAAAAGACUUCUAUCUACUGAUAAGGAAAAAUACAAGCAAGGUGCAGAGCAGUGUCUGUGUAGUGUGAUCCCAUUUGUGAGCAUUUGUAAAAGGACAUAUGUGCUGUGUUAUUCGUGAAUUCUUUUCAAUAAAUAAAUGUGAAAAAAUUGUUAACAGUGAUUACUUCUAGGGAGAUGACUGGGUCUCGCAGAAGGGACAUUUUUCAUUUUAAACCUUUCUAUCACAUUUGAAUUGAUUGCUACCUAUAAUGUUACUUUUGUUUUAGAAAAAUAAUUAGGUUUCCCUGUUGCUUUCCGUCAUGAAAUCCAGUUGGUUUCCUUCUUUGUGUGUAUUUUAAUUUGUAAGCAGUACCUUUCUUUGUGUUUACUAGCCGCCACCAGACUGGUGCCCCAUGAAGACAGGGACCAUGUCUCUUUUAUUUGCUGUUGUUACUGGCAUGGCACCUUUCACAUAGUGGGUGUUCCAUCAGUAUCCUUGAAUGAAUGAACGAAUGAAUGAAUGAAUGAACAAGCAGACAAAUGGAGUUUCCUCACAGCCUGGCUGACCAGGCCCCACGUGAGACAGAGAAGCAGGUUGAACAGCUGUGAGAUAGCCAAUGCCGAGGUAGGGAGCAGAGCACAAGGCAAGGAAGGAGUCUUGCAUUUAAGCAUCAGAGCUGGGGCAGGGAGCAGCGCAGCCAUGUGAGGGUGGCACUGCCUGCCGGGGAAGCUGGGGAUACUGGCUCCCAUGGCACUGGGGGUGUCACAGCCCUCUAGCCUCACCUUCCCCUCCUUGGGCUGGUCAAGGUGCCUGGCCGCCUCCUCCUCCUUGGGGCUAGUUUAAUAAGAUAGGGUUGGUGGAGACGGAGUCUCUGGGACUCUGGUGUGGUGCCUUUUUUUUCAUUCUGCCCCAUUUAGCCUUGUAGGGAAGUAGCAAGUCGGAGUGUAUGGUAAGGGAGAGGACUUAGCGUAUCUCUAGUUACUGGAAUCGAGAGAAAGACCCCAGAAGAGAGAACAUUAAGUUUCACAGGACAUUAAGUGAAAGCUGUCUUGAACAUAGGCAGCUGUCUCACCCCUUCACUAUAAGAGGAGGGGUCUUUGAAGGCAUUUCACUUUUGAGAAGAAAGCCUGUGUGGGGCGUGGCAGGGCUCAGGCAUCACAGCCAUAUUGAGGUCCAUCACUCAUAGUUUCACCCCAUGCAAGCUGCUUAAUCUUGCUUAGCCUCAGUGUUCUCUUCUGAAAAAUGGCCAUCACUGGCAGGGGAAAAUGAAGGUGGAGCCAUAUAGUUUCUCUACAUAUGUAAUAUUAUAAUAUUGGUUAAGUCCGUAAGAAUAGUUAUUGACUAUUAUAUACUGAUCACAGUGCUAGUAUUGUAUAAAGAUCAUUGCGUUUAAUACUUACAGCAACUGACUGGGUGGGCGUGAGUCUGAUCUUCAUUUUAUUGAUGAAGAAAUUGAGGCAUAGAGAGAAAAAGUCACACAACUAGUAGGUGGUGGAGCCAGGGUUUGGAGCGGACCCUCCUUCCUCCAGAGCCUGCCUCUUAACCAUGGAGCAGGAGCUCUACAUAGCACGCCCCUGACCUCUUUGCAGCUGUUCAUCUUCUUCUCGGUAUUAGCAACAUUGAAGAAAA
Piliocolobus tephrosceles (Ugandan red Colobus) is the source of this 3737-nucleotide long non-coding RNA. RefSeq lists it as uncharacterized. The record is from RefSeq and is a predicted model, not a curated record. The transcript is spliced from 2 exons. Lineage: Eukaryota; Metazoa; Chordata; Mammalia; Primates; Cercopithecidae.